This 250-nucleotide ribosomal RNA is filed under the name uncultured bacterium. Its description in RNAcentral is "partial 16S ribosomal RNA". It matches the Rfam family "Bacterial small subunit ribosomal RNA", at positions 524 to 773 of the family's 1533-position model. The record is from RNAcentral.
UACAGAGGUCCCGAGCGUUGUUCGGAUUCACUGGGCGUAAAGGGUGCGUAGGUGGCAUGGCAAGUUUGAUGUGAAAGCUCAGGGCUUAACCCUGAAAUGGCAUUGAAUACUGCUGUGCUGGAGGAUUGGAGGGGGGACUGGAAUUCUUGGUGUAGCAGUGAAAUGCGUAGAUAUCAAGAGGAACACCAGUGGCGAAGGCGAGUCCCUGGACAACACCUGACACUGAGGCACGAAAGCCGGGGGAGCAAAC